UGAUCAUGGCUCAGGACGAACGCUGGCGGCGUGCCUAAUACAUGCAAGUCGAACGGGGUUGCACGGCGGAAGCCUUCGGGUGGAAGCUGUGCAGCCUAGUGGCGGACGGGUGAGUAACGCGUGGGCAACCUGCCCUCCAGCCCGGGAUAACUUCCGGAAACGGGAGCUAAUCCCGGAUGUGGAGCAAAGGACGCAUGUUUUUUGCUCGAAAGCUUCGGCGCUGGAGGAUGGGCCCGCGUCCCAUUAGCUAGUUGGUGAGGUAACGGCUCACCAAGGCGACGAUGGGUAGCCGGCCUGAGAGGGUGAUCGGCCACACUGGGACUGAGACACGGCCCAGACUCCUACGGGAGGCAGCAGUAGGGAAUCUUGCGCAAUGGGCGAAAGCCUGACGCAGCGACGCCGCGUGAGGGAAGAAGGCCUUCGGGUUGUAAAGCCCUGUCUUAUGGGAAGAAGUCAGUGACGGUACCAUAGGAGGAAGCCCCGGCUAACUACGUGCCAGCAGCCGCGGUAAUACGUAGGGGGCGAGCGUUGUCCGGAAUCACUGGGCGUAAAGGGUGCGUAGGCGGCUUGGCAAGUCCUGUGUGAAAGGUCGCGGCUCAACCGCGGUGGGUCAUGGGAAACUGCCAAGCUCGAGUGCCGGAGAGGAUAGCGGAUUUCCGGUGUAGCGGUGAAAUGCGUAGAGAUCGGAAGAACACAGUUGCGAAGCGCUAUUCUGGA
RNAcentral lists this ribosomal RNA (717 nucleotides) under uncultured Bacillota bacterium. Its description in RNAcentral is "bacterial SSU rRNA". It matches the Rfam family "Bacterial small subunit ribosomal RNA", at positions 14 to 733 of the family's 1533-position model. Lineage: Bacteria; Bacillati; Bacillota. The record is from RNAcentral.